GGGCAUCGCGGGGGGCGGGGCGUCGCGGGCACAGCGUGAGGGCCGCCGUUGCUGGAGUUCAGCUUAGGGAAGGAGGACUCUGAGGAGGCCCCGAGCGGCGGAGCGCUUCGGGGGAGGCGCCCGCGCAGACGCGAGGCCCAUAGCCAGGACCACCACCUAGCUGAUUCUUGAUGACAUUGGUCGGGAAAACUCGCCUUUCACGGCCCGGCCAAGGGGCAUUUGGGUGCUUUUGCUGCCCGUGGCUGUGCUCAGCGUUGUGGGAAGCCCCUGGGAGGCCGAAUGUGCAGGAUCACCGAGGGGAAAGUGAGCUUGACAGUUCUACAGUCUGGGGACGACGGUUUAAAAAUUUAUGCCUUGCAUGCGAUGUGCAGUGGGUGAUGGAAGAACGUCUACAUGGCUUUAAAAUUGGAUUUAAAAGGCAAAUAUUUUAAAUGAAGGAAAACCCAAGAAGUUUACUUGAUUCCUUAUCUUCCAGGAUGCGACUUUUGUUUAUUUAUUUAUUUUAUUUUGAUGGAGUCUCGCUGCCGUCGCGCAGGCUGGAGUGCAGUGACGCGAUCUUGACCCGGGAACCUCCACCUCCCGGGUUCAAGCGAUUCUCCUUCCUCAACCACCCGAGUAGCUGGGAUUACAGGCGUGUGCCACCAUGCCCGGCUAAUUUUUGUGUUUUUAGUAGAGACCGGGGAAGGUAUGGGCCCUCUUUUGAGAAAAAUGCAGAGUGACACUGAAUUUUGUAACUACAUCAGGAGGCUCUUGAACCUUCUGCAGCUCACUCGUGGAGUUUGUAGAGAUGCGUAAUAAUCCGAAGUGUUAAGGAAGAAGGUUCUGUUGAGAAAAAGUUGGAGGGCUGAAAGGGAUGCCUUUCGCUAUUUCGACAUGUGUGGCUGUACCCCAGAGUGCCCUGGCUAACACGCAAAACCAUGAAUUAGGCGGCUUGGCGAGGCUCAGUGGAGGCUGGGGCCGAGAGUCAUGUCAAAGUUUGUGGGGUUAACCUGCACCCAGUGACAGUCAUGGCGAAGUUUGUGAGGUUAACUCGCACCCAGUAACGCUGUUCCAAUGCAAGGUGUGUAUUUGGUGUCAUCCACGGGAAGAGGAAACAGCAAAUUUUCUCAUGGCCUUGGCAGUUCCACAUGAUGGACAUUUCAUAUCUGCAGUUUUCUUCGCAUGAGAUGGCUUUUUUGCACAAAAACACUGGAAUCCAGUGAGCAAGAAUGAUAGAAUGCAAGAUGGAUUUCCACAUGAGGAAGUGUCACGAACAAGCGUUUUGCAUCUCUGUCAGCUGGAUUCCCCCAUGUGUACGUAUGUGAGAACAUGCCGUGUUUCCUGUCUGUAAUGGUAGAGGCAGCCCUGAUACUGGAUUUUCACCUGAGGAUGGAUAGAUCUUCAGGGUUCAAGUGGGUUUGCAUCUGGACUUUAGGGUGGCCCUGUAGGCCCUGUGUGAGAAGCCCCCUUCCCAGUGAACUUUCCCUUGUGUGCCCGCGUGGACAGCCAACAGGGGGAGCAGUGCGAGCGUGAAGGCAGACAGUGGCCUGGCCCAGUCUGAUGGGAGAGACCCACCGACCCUGUGGGGCUGGUCCCUACAUCUGGCGCUCUGACGUGGGGCUCUCCCUCGCUGUGUGAAGUUGCACCCUGAGUGCGGGAUCAGCGGAGGAGUUCAACGAGAGAUUCCUGAGGAUUGCAGUCUAUAAACUUGGUGGAAAAGAACUACAGCCUGUGUGGGUCCCCUCCCGACAAUUAAAAUUGCACCAUAACUCCAAAGAUGAAACGCUCCCAGAAAGAAAAGGCAAAGACCCAUCGGAAACAAAAGAGCAACUUUCACCGCCUGAUACAUACACUUCAUGACAUCCACAUUGAGACAAAAUCUCGCCGUGUGACCUACAACACCUCUCGUUCAACCCCACCUACUUGGGGUCGAAUACAGAUUUUAUCUCAUCAAACAGAAAAAUUCUUAACAGAAAAAGGAAUCCCAAAAAUGACUGGUAAUAUAAUUCUGGCUGCCUUUAUGGUAGUCAGUGCAGCGUCUGCAGAUGCCUCUAAGGAGUCCGAAACCAAGUCCGAAGUCAACAACAAGCAAUGAUGGCGAUGGCGAUUCUAGUUAAUAAAAAGGGGGGAGAUGUGGGCGGCAAGCCACCCAGGCACCGAGGCAAGAGACAGAGGACACGAGCUGUUCCAGUAUAAUAAAAUAUAAAACAAGAAUAGUUAUACCAGAUAUAGAUCUUAGAUAUGAUUAUAUACGAAUAUCAUUAAUCAUGAGUUUGUAGCAAUUACUUUUUAUUCCAAUAUUAUGAUAAUCCUCGCUCUAUAAUCAUAGCCUAGGAAAAACCAGGCCAUACAGAGAUAGGAGCUGAGGGGACAUAGUGAAGUGUGACCAGAAGACAAGAGUGCGAGCCUUCUGUUAUGCCCGGACAGGGCCACCAGAGGGCUCCUUGGUCUAGCGGUGACGCCAGCGUCUGGGAAGACACCCGUUACCAGGCGGAUCGUGGCCCAGCCGUAGCAAAAGGUGUCAAGGAACACCUUUUGCAAAAGGUGUCAACACCCGCUACUUAGCAGACUGGGAAAGGGGGGCGGUCUCCCUUUCCCCGGGGGAGUUUAGAGAAGACUCUGUUCCUCCACCUCUUGUGGAGGGCCUGACAUCAGUCAGGCUUGCCCGUAGUUAUCCGGAGGCCUAACUGUCUCCCUGUGAUGCUGUGCUUCAGUGGUCACGCUCCUAGUCUGCCUUCAUUUUCCAUCCUGUACACCUGGCUCUGCCUUCUAGAUAGCAGUAGUAAAUUAGUGAAAAUACUAAUAGUCCCUGAUAUGCAGAAAUAAUGGCAUAAGCUGUCUUUCUCUCUGUCUCCUCUCCCUCUCUGCCUCGGCUGCCAGGCAGGGAAGGGCCCCCUGUCCAGUGGACACAUGACCCAUGUGACCUUACCUAUCAUUGGAGGUGACUCACAUUCUUUACCCUGCCCCUUCUGCCUUGUAUCCAAUAACAGCGCAGUCAGACAUUCAGGGCCACUACCGGUCUCCGCACAUUGGUGGUAGUGGUCCCCCGGGCCCAGC
Molecule: long non-coding RNA, 3036 nt
Organism: Homo sapiens (human)
Lineage: Eukaryota; Metazoa; Chordata; Mammalia; Primates; Hominidae
Gene: ERVK13-1
Product: endogenous retrovirus group K13 member 1
Source: Ensembl